RNAcentral lists this long non-coding RNA (412 nucleotides) under Bos indicus x Bos taurus (hybrid cattle). RNAcentral describes it as "lncRNA (ENSBIXG00000009708.1)". The record is from RNAcentral. Lineage: Eukaryota; Metazoa; Chordata; Mammalia; Artiodactyla; Bovidae.
CUGUGAUGGUCGCUCCUCCUUGAAGAAUGCUUCUUAGGCAUUGCGCCACCCUCUCCCCGGUUUUCUUCCUCAGACCUCCUUGACAGCCACAAAGUUUCUGGUGUUGACACACUGGCAGGACUUCCCUUGCAUGGGGCAGGCCACCCUGGAGUCAAGGCCUGCGCUUCUGAGAUGAAGCUCUGGGAUUCCAGGAAGGGGGCUCCCUACCUCCUCAGCUGGAAGUGGCUCCUGAGUGCCCACCACAGGAGGAAUUCCCUACAAAUCAUCUGAAUCUUGCCUCUUUCUUCAGCUACUGAUUUUGUCCUUUUUCUGACCAAGAAGAGCAUGUCUUCUUUUCUGCCCCUUGACUGGAGCUGAGAUCGGCACAGCGGGUUUGGCCUCACAGCCUGUCUCAGGCCCUCUGAGGAAUCAC